This 534-nucleotide ribosomal RNA is filed under the name uncultured bacterium. RNAcentral describes it as "bacterial SSU rRNA". It matches the Rfam family "Bacterial small subunit ribosomal RNA", at positions 375 to 896 of the family's 1533-position model. The record is from RNAcentral.
ACGAAAGUCUGACGGAGCAACGCCGCGUGAGCGAAGAAGGCCUUCGGGUCGUAAAGCUCUGUUGUUAGGGAAGAACAAGUAUCGGAGUAACUGCCGGUACCUUGACGGUACCUAACCAGAAAGCACCGGCUAACUCCGUGCCAGCAGCCGCGGUAAUACGGAGGGUGCAAGCGUUGCUCGGAAUUACUGGGCGUAAAGGGCGUGUAGGCGGUUUCGUAUGUCUGGCGUGAAAGCCCCGGGCUCACCUCGGGAAGUGCGUCGGAAACUGCGAGACUAGAGUCCCGGAGAGGGAGGUGGAAUUCCAGGUGUAGCGGUGAAAUGCGUAGAUAUCUGGAAGAACACCGGUGGCGAAGGCGGAUCUCUGGGCCAUUACUGACGCUGAGGAAGCGAAAGCGUGGGGAGCGAACAGGAUUAGAUACCCUGGUAGUCCACGUCCGUAAACGGUGGGAACUAGGUGUUGGCGACAUUCCACGUCGUCGGUGCCGCAGCUUAACGCAUUAAGUUCCCCGCCUGGGGAGUACGGCCGCAAGGCUA